GAUGAAGAACGUAGCAAAAUGCGAUAAGUAAUGUGAAUUGCAGAAUUCAGUGACUCAUCGAAUCUUUGAACGCACAUUGCGCCCGCCAGUAUUCUGGCGGGCAUGCCUGUUCGAGCGUCAUUUCAACCCUCAAGCACAGCUUGGUGUUGGGACUCGCGUUAAUUCGCGUUCCUCAAAUUGAUUGGCGGUCACGUCGAGCUUCCAUAGCGUAGUAGUAAAACCCUCGUUACUGGUAAUCGUCGCGGCCACGCCGUUAAACCCCAACUUCUGAAUGUUGACCUCGGAUCAGGUAGGAAUACCCGCUGAACUUAAGCAUAUCAAUAAGCGGAGGA
This 332-nucleotide unclassified non-coding RNA is filed under the name soil metagenome. RNAcentral's name for it is "partial contains 5.8S ribosomal RNA, internal transcribed spacer 2, and large subunit ribosomal RNA". The stretch from base 1 to 120 matches the Rfam family "5.8S ribosomal RNA", at positions 35 to 154 of the family's 154-position model. The record is from RNAcentral.